AUGGCGGCGUCGGAGCGGGAGGCCGGCCUCCUCGCCCGCGUGGCCGCGAACCACCUCUUCCUCGCUCAAUUCGAGCCCAUGCGCGCGGCUCUACUCAGCCUCCGCCGCCGCACCGAUCCCGAUCUCGCUGCAGACUUCCUCCGCGCGGUGGUCGCCUCGGGGGGCCGCGUCCCUGGCGUGCUCUGGUCGGCGCUGCCCGCCUGCCCCUCCUCCUCCCACCUCGCCUGGCUCGCCGUGCUUGAGCUCGCUGCCCUCCCUUCCACUCCCAACCCCGAGUCGCUCCGCCUCAAGGCUGAGUUUCUCAUUCUUCUCCAGCCCAUCGCUGAUGACCCUGCCACCGGCGUCGAUGCUCGGGGAACGCUCGUGAAGCUGCUGGAUUUGGGGGUGGCGAGGCUGAAACGCGAGGUCGACGACUAUGGGGAACCUGUCGAGGAGGUCCCGGUUACCGAGGAGGAUCUGAGGGGGUUGUGGGGGGUGGUCCUCGACAAUGCCGAGCUGUUUGACGCCCUGUGUGCGGGCGUUUCGAGGCAGAUCGGACUGGACUCAGGUUUUGGUGUAAAUGUGCUCCUGUCGUUGCGACGUAGCGUGCAGCUCGCCCACUUGGACGCCAUGAAGGCGCUUGUCAUGGCUGGUGACGUCGAAAGUGCUACUGGGCAUAUCCGGUUCCUCUGUUUGGAGAAUGGCGUAGAGGAGGACAGUUAUAAGGUUGUCCUAGGUGAUGUUGUGAAAAAGGGUUGGGAAAAAUCAUCAAAUUAUUUUGGAAAAUGGUUUGAAUCGCGUAAUAGAAUCAUUACAAUUUAUGGAGAAGCACUUCAGUCAAGCAGUCCCCAGCUUGUUCAACUAAUUCAGAUCAUUCUGGAUGACAUUCUUUCUGAAGAAUUUGAAGACCACAGUAUCUCUGAUGCUCAUUGGAUGCCUCUUCCUUUCAAGAAGUUUCUGGAAACAUUGUGGUUGGAGAGGGAUGCUGAUUCAGAUGACAGGACCAUUUUGACCGAAGCUAUAGUAUCCUGCAAGAAAGAUCUGUUCCACUAUUCUCGACUUUCUGGAAAGCAUGUCCUUGAAGUUAUCAUGGAAACUGCUCUAUCAUUAAUUAAGAGAGAACAGCUUCAAGAAGCUGUUAAUGUUGUUUCUUUAUUUCCCCUUCUCCAGCCAUUGGUUGCUGUAUUGGGUUGGGAUAUUCUGAAGGGUAAGACAGAACUGCGGAGAAAGUUAAUGCAGUUGUUCUGGACAAGCAAAUCCCAAGCUCUGCGUCUACAAGAAUAUUCACAUUACCGUGCACAGACGGAUGAGACAUCCUGUGAGGAGUACCUAUGUGACCUGUUAUGCUUUCAUCUGGAUCUUGCAUCCUUCGUUUCCAGUGUGAAUUCUGGGCACCCUUGGAAUUUGAGGAAUUCAUUGUUCUCCCAAAAAGAGCAAGAUUCAGUUGUUAAUGCAGAAACAUUAGAUCCUUUUGUUGAGAACAUGAUACUUGAGCGGUUAGCUGUUCAGACUCCCAUGAGAGUGCUGUUUGACGUGGUCCCAGGAAUAAAGUUUCAAGAUGCAAUUGAGCUUGUUGGUAUGCAGCCACUUUCUUCAACAACUGCAGCUUCGAAAAGGAUGCAUGACAUCGAGCUGAUGCACAUGCGAUAUGCUCUACAGUCAGUUGCCCUUUCUUUAGGGGAGAUGGAGAAGUGUGCAGGUGAUGGGAAUGAGCACCAUUAUCACAUAGCUUUGUCAUAUUUGAAGGAGAUGCAAAAUUUUAUGGAGGCUAUCGAAAGCACUCCACGAAAGAUUUUCAUGGUCAGCAUUGUAUUAUCAUUAUUACAUAUGGAUGACACUAUCAAGUUGCCGCAAGCCGCCCCCCCAGAGUGUUCUGUCAAUCAUGAUUGCUGUGAUAGUAAUACUGAAUCUGAAGGGAAGAACAUGGUGAUAUCUUUUGUUGGACUUCUGCUUGACAUACUUCGACAUAAUGUCCUAUUUAAAGGCCCUGAUAUGGAUCAGUUGCCAAGUACUGGUCUGUCACCUGCUGGCAGGCAAGCGUUAGAGUGGAGACUCAAACAUGCCAGCCAUUCCAUUGAAGACAUGGAUUGGCGUCUAUCUGUUCUACAACGCCUCCCACCUCUGUCUGGGCGACAAUGGAGUUGGAAGGAGGCAUUAGUUGUUUUACGUGCCGCUCCUUCAAAAUUGUUGAACGUGUGCAUGCAAAGGGCAAAUUAUGGUAUAGGAGAGGAAGCUGUACAACGAUUUUCUUUGCCUGCUGAGGAUAAAGCUUCUCUUGAAUUAGCUGAAUGGGUAGCUGGUGCAUACAGAAGAGCAUUGGUUGAGGAUGCUCUAAAUCGGGCCACAGACAACCCAAGUGUUGCACGCGAAUCAGAUAUUUUGUCAUUCCGUGCUCAGCUUGGUCCUUUAACUACGAUUCUGCUUUGCAUUGAUGUUGCUGCAACUUCUGCUAGGUCAGGGGAUAUGUGUCGAUUUCUUCUUGAUGAGGCUACAAGUUUGUUAUCUGAAAUAUUUCCAGGAACCUCCCCAAAAAUAGGUCCAACUUAUUGGGAUCAGAUUCAAGAAGUUGCUAUCAUAUUAGUGAUAAAGUGCAUCCUUCAGCGCCUGAGUGGCAUUUUAGAUCUCGAAGGUCGGCCAUAUCUUCAAGUAGUUUUUACCGAAGUGAGUGCCUCUUUGUCAACUGAAUCUAGCAGAGUUGGACAAAAGCAACGUCCACUUGGACUCCUGCAUCAGAUGAUUGAUGAUGCCUUCAGAGGAAAGCGUCAGUUCUUGAAUGGUAAACUUCACAAUGUUGCAAGAGCUAUUGUUGAUGAAGAUUCGGAUAAAACUUACUCAAAAGACGGUACCAAGUCAGAAAAAAAAGAUGCUUUGAUAUCCGAAAAAGGUACAGUCCUUGGUCAUGGACUUAGAAUCCUGAAGCAAGCAUCUAAGACUGACCCAACAGCUUCAAGUGUUCCUGAAAGCAGUUCAGACCACAAAGGUUCUACAAACAGAUACUUGGGUCAUGUAUCUACCAAGCCGUCGACAUACUUAUCAAACUUCAUAAUAUAUAUUGCAACCAUUGGUGACAUAGUUGAUGGAACUGACACGACUCAUGAUUUCAACUACUUCUCAUUGGUGUACGAACGACCAAAAGAUCUUUUAACUCGUUUAGUUUUUGAGCAUGGAAGCACUGACGCAGCUGCGAAGGUAGCUGACACAAUGGGUGUGGAUUUUGUGCAUGAGAUAAUAUCAGCUUGUGUGCCACCAGUUCUUCCUCCACGAACAGGACAAGGAUGGGCUUGCAUUCCUAUUUUAACCACAGUUUCUAAUAUUAUUUCUGAAAACAGUUCAACAGUUCCAAAGUCCCUCCCCCCUGAUCAAGGAUGGAGUCCACAUGAUUCAUUGUUGUCUUCUCGCCGGGAUCCGCUGUAUCCUCUUCAGUUAAAUUUAGUGAAGCAUUUAGCCCAAUUAUCAUCAGUAAGAGCAGUUCUGGCAUGUGUGUUCGGAAGUAGCAUACUAUCUGGUGACAGUGAAUCAUCUCCUACUUAUGUGAAAGAUGCAAUGCAAACCACUGAAGUUGAGAGGUCAUUCUAUGAAUUCGCUCUUGAACAAUCGGAGAGAUAUCCAACUUUGAACCGGUGGAUACAGAUGCAGUCUAACCUUCACCGGGUAUCUGAGUCUGCCGUGGCAGUUAAAACUGAAAAUGAAGUCGCCGUGCAUCAAUCAAAAGGAAAAUUUUCUAUUAAGCGAGCUCGUGAACCUGACAGUGAUGCUGAAUCAGAGCUUGAAGAUGUCGUCAUAAAUGGAAAUGCCGCUUCAAGUACACUAGAAUCCCCUAAACAUGAUGAUGCUAAACUAGAGCCAACAGCUUUUAUUUCUUUUGACUGGGAGAACGAAGGACCAUAUGAGAAAGCCGUUGAGAGGCUAAUUAAUGAAGGAAAACUAACUGAUGCUCUUGCUGUAUCCGACCGUUGUUUGCGCAAUGGAGCGUCUGAUAAAUUACUUCGAUUGCUCAUUGAUCAAAGGGAAGAAAGAAGUCUAGGCACAGGACAAUUCCGCCCAUAUGGUUCCCGUAACUUGGGGAGUAAUACUUGGCAGUAUUGUUUGAGACUGAGGGAUAAAAAACUUGCAGCUCAGCUUGCUCUUAAGUACCUGCACAGUUGGAACCUUGACGCUGCAACCAAUGUUCUAACUAUGUGCAUCUGCCACUUACCUGAGAAUGAUCCUAUGCGGAGUAAGGUGCUACACAUGAAGCAAUCUCUGCAACGGUAUGGUCAUAUUAUGAGUGCUGAUGACCAUUACACCAGAUGGCAAGAGGUCGAAGUUGAUUGUGAAGAUGAUCCAGAAGGGGUAGCACUUAGGCUUGCCGCCAAAGGAGCUGUAUCUGCUGCUUUACAGGUCGCCGAAAGUGCCUCUCUGUCAAUCGAUUUGCGGAGGGAACUGCAAGGCCGCCAGCUUGUCAAACUUCUUACCACUGAUCCACUUAAUGGUGGAGGCCCAGCUGCGGCAUCACGAUUUCUAUCGACCUUACGAGAUUCCAAUGAUGCUCUUCCUGUUGCCAUUGGUGCCAUGAAGUUAUUACCUGACUUGCGCUCAAAGCAGCUUCUUGUGCAUUUUUUUCUCAAACGUACAGUUGGGAAUUUGUCAGAUGCUGAGAUUGCUCGACUUAAUUCAUGGGCGCUGGGUCUUCGUGUUCUUUCCUUAUUGCCAUUGCCAUCACAACAGCGUUGCUCUUCUCUGCAUGAACAUCCUCAGUUGAUUCUGGAAGUACUAUUGAUGAUGAAGCAACUCGAGUCUGCGUCUCUGGUUUUGAAAGAAUUUCCAUCCCUGAGGGAUGACAAGUUAAUCAUUGCUUACGCUAAGAAAGCAAUCUCUGUCAAUAUCGAUUCUACUCUUAGGGAACCGCGACAAACCAUCUCUGCGGCAAGAGAAAAAGAAAAAAAGGCUGCCAUACCAGCUAAAACAAAUUUUGUGCAGAGUUUUGGCAACUUUCAGAGAGAGGCACGUAAAGCAUUCUCAUGGGUGCCCCGCGAUGGUGGCACCAAAACCCCCCCGAAAGAUAUCCCUCGGAAAAGAAAGAGUUCAGGCUCAGGUGAUAGAUCCUCUUGGGAAGCGAUGCCUGGUGUACAGGAGGAGCAGACACCUGUUUACCCUUCUGAAGGACAAGAUAGACUUCCUUUUGUUUCUGCUCCUGAGGAGUGGGUGCUUACCGGAGAGCCUGAUAGGGAUAACACAACUCGUUCAUGUCAUAGAUAUGAAUCCUCUCCAGAUAUCGCACUAUUCAAGGCAUUGCUUUCACUGUGCACUGAUGAGUCAGUAGCCGGAAAAGGUGCACUUGAACUGUGUGUUACUCAGAUGAAGGUUGUGCUAAGCUCCCUACAGUUGCCUCUCAAUGCAUCUAUGGACAAUGUAGCCCGGGCUUAUCAUGCAACGGAAACUUAUGUGCAGGCAAUCUCUUAUUCAAAAAAUCUACUAAAAAAGCUCACCGGGAGUAGUGAUUUGUCAAGUGGCUCUGAAAGAAGUAGAGAUGCUGAUGAUGUUUCUGUGGACGCUGGCAGUUCAAGCACUGGGGUCCAACAUCAAGAUGAGCUGUCUGAUCUCCUUGCUCAAGCAGAUAUGUGGCUAGGGCGUGCUGAGCUUCUUCAAAGCCUGCUGGGAUCAGGUAUUAUUGCAUCACUUGAUGAUAUUGCUGGCAAAGAGUCUUCAACUAGUCUACGUGACAGGCUGGUCAGUGAUGAGCGAUACAGCAUGGCUGUAUAUACUUCUAAGAAGUGCAAGAUUGAUGCUUUUCCAGUGUGGGUUGCUUGGGGCCAUGCUCUAGUUCGAAUGGAACACUACGCUCAAGCCCGUGUGAAAUUUAAGCAAGCUCUUCAACAGUUCAAAGGUGAUGCGCCUCCUGUUGUCCUUGAUAUCAUUAACACAAUUGAAGGGGGUCCUCCUGUUGAUGUUUCUUCUGUCCGCUCUAUGUAUGAACAUGUAGCAAAAAGUGCAGCAACCAUCUUCGAUGAUUCCCUUUCUGCUGAUUCUUAUCUUAAUGUUCUAUAUAUGCCAUCCACAUUCCCACGAUCUGAGAGGUCCAGGCAAUCCAGAGAUUCUCUAGAUAGCCAAUUUUCGUCUGCUAACUCAUACCUUGAAGAUGGUCCUCGCAGCAAUCUUGAUAGCGUCCGAUAUGCAGAGUGUAUUCAUUACUUGCAGGAAUAUGCUCGCCCACAAAUGCUUGCUUUCAUGUUCAGGCAUGGCCAUUAUGCAGAAGCAUGCUCUCUAUUCUUUCCAUCCAGUGAACCAACCGCAGAAGGGGAAACAUCUUUGUCUUCAGUUCCUCGGAGUGAUCCUUUAACAACUGAUUAUGGGACAAUUGAUGACCUGUGUGAUCUAUGUCUUGGAUAUGGUGCUAUGUCUGUAUUGGAGGAUACAAUAUUGGCAAUAACUCAAUCCCCGACAUAUCAUGACACAACUGUGAUUCAGUACAUGAACACUGUUCUCACCCGCAUUUGUAACUACUGUGAAAUGCAUCGGCACUAUAAUUAUCUUUACAACUUUCUGGUUCUAAAAGGUGACCAUGUGGCUUCUGGCCUUUGCUGUAUUCAGUUAUUCAUGAAUUCAAUGUCCCAAGAGGAAUCUCUGAAGCAUUUGGGACAUGCCAAGACACAUUUUGAGGAAGCUUUAUCUGUACGAGAUAGAACAAUUGAGGCUACAAAAUUGGUAUCACGGACUGCUCGCAAUAAGAGUGCAUCGGAAAAACUAACUAGAGAGAUGAUAAUGAAAUUUUCUACCAGAGUUUCCUAUCAGAUGGAUGUUGUGAAGGUCCUCAACAGUGUAGAUGGGCCUCAGUGGAAGACCUCCCUGUUUGGAAAUCCAACUGAUCCUGAAACUCUGAGGCGAAGGUGCAUGGUUGUUGAAACUCUGGCUGAAAAGCAUUUCGAUUUAGCUUUUAGAAUGCUUCAUGAGUUUGAUCUUCCAGUUGUGGAUGUUUAUGCCGGUGUAGCAGCAUCCCUCGCAGAGAGGAAAAAAGGUGGCCAGUUAACGGAGUUCUUGAAAAACAUAAGGGGAACCAUAGAAGAUGAUGAAUGGGAUCAGGUUCUGGGUGCUGCUAUAAAUGUUUAUGCUAACAAGCAUAAAGAAAGGCCAGAUCGACUUAUUGAUAUGCUAAUCAGCAAUCACAGGAAAGUACUUGCUUGUGUUGUUUGCGGCCGUCUGAAAAGUGCAUUCCAGAUAGCCUCACGAAGUGGAAGUGUAGCUGAUGUUCAAUAUGUUGCCCAUCAGGCAUUACAUGCAAAUGCAUUGCCGGUUCUUGAUAUGUGCAAGCAAUGGCUGGCCCAGUACAUGUAA
RNAcentral lists this ribosomal RNA (7290 nucleotides) under Triticum aestivum (bread wheat). Its description in RNAcentral is "partial small subunit ribosomal RNA". The record is from RNAcentral. Lineage: Eukaryota; Viridiplantae; Streptophyta; Magnoliopsida; Poales; Poaceae.